GUCAGUGGUUUUGUUUCCUUGA
This 22-nucleotide microRNA is filed under the name human gammaherpesvirus 4 (Epstein-Barr virus). RNAcentral describes it as "ebv-miR-BART15". Its record names the gene ebv-miR-BART15. Lineage: Duplodnaviria; Heunggongvirae; Peploviricota; Herviviricetes; Herpesvirales; Orthoherpesviridae. The record is from miRBase by way of RNAcentral.